This 384-nucleotide RNase P RNA is filed under the name bacterium. RNAcentral describes it as "RNase P RNA component class A". It matches the Rfam family "Bacterial RNase P class A". From Rfam's summary of the family: Ribonuclease P (RNase P) is a ubiquitous endoribonuclease, found in archaea, bacteria and eukarya as well as chloroplasts and mitochondria. Its best characterised activity is the generation of mature 5'-ends of tRNAs by cleaving the 5'-leader elements of precursor-tRNAs. The record is from RNAcentral.
UUCAAUAAGUAGAUGAUCGCUUUAACUUUUUGGUUAGAGAGGAAAGUCCGAACACCAGUCGUUGUUUCACAAUGGCUAGUGAUAGUUGUUAACAGCAACGCCUGUCGUUUUUAUCGGCGGGACGGAAAGUGCCACAGAAACUAUACCGCUCCAUUGCUUUGCAGUGGUGUAAGGGUGAAAAGAGCGGAGGUAAGAGCUCCCAACUUUAAUUGGUAACAAUUAAGGACGGAAAACUCCUAUCCGGUGCAAGGCCAAACCAUCCGCCUCGGGCGGGUGACGAAAAGUAGGCCGCUUGACCCCGAGAGCAAUCGAGGGGCUAGAUAGAUGAUCAUCAUCCCGACUUUGCGUUGGGACACAGAAUUCGGCUUAUUCUUAUUGAAGAGC